Salvia splendens (bonfire salvia) is the source of this 867-nucleotide long non-coding RNA. RefSeq lists it as uncharacterized. The record is from RefSeq and is a predicted model, not a curated record. NCBI's taxonomy places the organism in Eukaryota, Viridiplantae, Streptophyta, Magnoliopsida, Lamiales, Lamiaceae. The transcript is spliced from 3 exons.
UUACAUCCUUGUUCACUGAUUGAAUAGGCUUGGUCUCCAAGGUGCCUCUUGGUCUGUUCUUUGAUUUUCUCAUUGUUGGAUCUUGUCUUGUGAAUGGAAAGAUGGCUAUUUUUCCAUCAAAUAUGACAUCUCCACUUUCUCCAAAGUAUGGUCUACACACUACACACAUAAACAUCACCUUUGUGAUGAACCUUUUUGACUUGCAUGACCUAUAUGGUUCUUCCUCAUCUGGCAGCAGGCUGAACAUGAGUGAGAGUCCAUUUCAUUCUUGAUACCUUGUUUGCGGCAGUAAGCAGCGGAUUAACAACAUUUGUGUGUGGCCUCAGAAGUCCACAUUUCACCAUCCUGUCUACUGUGCUCUUACUUAAAUCUAGCUUGAAAGCCAUCUUGCGAAUGGUUCACCACUUUGGAUUUGCUUGCUGGCCUCUGCCCAGAUUCGAUGGACUGUCUUCCUGCUCACUCCAAAGUCAUUUGCUGUUUUGACAAAACCUCCAUAUGGUAUUUUACCUAAAAGGCUCGCUUGUAGCAGGCUUUGUGCUAUCAGAUUCUUGGUGUCCACUCCUAUGAUUCGCUUGCCUUUAUCUCCGGCAAUGUCUCCGGCCGUGGCUCCGGCAGUUUCACCAGCAGCAGAAUCCAUAGCCCUAUGAUGAAAAUUUUCUGAGGGCAAUACUUCUAAAACUCUCCUUUUGUUGUGUAGGUAGUCCUUUUAUAGGUAGUGGUAGUUGGCAGUUCCCUACUAAGUUCCCUCCUAAAAAUUUGGUUAGAGUAUUGUGGGUUUUGGCAUUUCCCUCCCAAAAAUCUUUUGUGUGUAAUUUGAUUAAACUCUCAUUGAGAUGUUGUAUGUUGUGGAGUUGUAUGAAAGAAGAA